GCUGGCGGCGUGCCUAAUACAUGCAAGUAGAACGCUGAAGAGAGGAGCUUGCUCUUCUUGGAUGAGUUGCGAACGGGUGAGUAACGCGUAGGUAACCUGCCUUGUAGCGGGGGAUAACUAUUGGAAACGAUAGCUAAUACCGCAUAACAAUGGAUGACACAUGUCAUUUAUUUGAAAGGGGCAAAUGCUCCACUACAAGAUGGACCUGCGUUGUAUUAGCUAGUAGGUGAGGUAACGGCUCACCUAGGCGACGAUACAUAGCCGACCUGAGAGGGUGAUCGGCCACACUGGGACUGAGACACGGCCCAGACUCCUACGGGAGGCAGCAGUAGGGAAUCUUCGGCAAUGGGGGCAACCCUGACCGAGCAACGCCGCGUGAGUGAAGAAGGUUUUCGGAUCGUAAAGCUCUGUUGUAAGUCAAGAACGAGUGUGAGAGUGGAAAGUUCACACUGUGACGGUAGCUUACCAGAAAGGGACGGCUAACUACGUGCCAGCAGCCGCGGUAAUACGUAGGUCCCGAGCGUUGUCCGGAUUUAUUGGGCGUAAAGCGAGCGCAGGCGGUUUGAUAAGUCUGAAGUUAAAGGCUGUGGCUCAACCAUAGUUCGCUUUGGAAACUGUCAAACUUGAGUGCAGAAGGGGAGAGUGGAAUUCCAUGUGUAGCGGUGAAAUGCGUAGAUAUAUGGGGGAACACCGGUGGCGAAAGCGGCUCUCUGGUCUGUAACUGACGCUGAGGCUCGAAAGCGUGGGGAGCGAACAGGAUUAGAUACCCUGGUAGUCCACGCCGUAAACGAUGAGUGCUAGGUGUUGGAUCCUUUCCGGGAUUCAGUGCCGCAGCUAACGCAUUAAGCACUCCGCCUGGGGAGUACGACCGCAAGGUUGAAACUCAAAGGAAUUGACGGGGGCCCGCACAAGCGGUGGAGCAUGUGGUUUAAUUCGAAGCAACGCGAAGAACCUUACCAGGUCUUGACAUCCCGAUGCUAUUUCUAGAGAUAGAAAGUUACUUCGGUACAUCGGUGACAGGUGGUGCAUGGUUGUCGUCAGCUCGUGUCGUGAGAUGUUGGGUUAAGUCCCGCAACGAGCGCAACCCCUAUUGUUAGUUGCCAUCAUUCAGUUGGGCACUCUAGCGAGACUGCCGGUAAUAAACCGGAGGAAGGUGGGGAUGACGUCAAAUCAUCAUGCCCCUUAUGACCUGGGCUACACACGUGCUACAAUGGUUGGUACAACGAGUUGCGAGUCGGUGACGGCAAGCUAAUCUCUUAAAGCCAAUCUCAGUUCGGAUUGUAGGCUGCAACUCGCCUACAUGAAGUCGGAAUCGCUAGUAAUCGCGGAUCAGCACGCCGCGGUGAAUACGUUCCCGGGCCUUGUACACACCGCCCGUCACACCACGAGAGUUUGUAACACCCGAAGUCGGUGAGGUAACCUUUUGGAGCCAGCCGCCUAAGGUGGGAUAGAUGAUUGGGGUGAAG
RNAcentral lists this ribosomal RNA (1466 nucleotides) under uncultured organism. Its description in RNAcentral is "SSU rRNA". It matches the Rfam family "Bacterial small subunit ribosomal RNA". The record is from RNAcentral.